RNAcentral lists this unclassified non-coding RNA (260 nucleotides) under uncultured fungus. Its description in RNAcentral is "partial contains small subunit ribosomal RNA, internal transcribed spacer 1, and 5.8S ribosomal RNA". The stretch from base 1 to 73 matches the Rfam family "Eukaryotic small subunit ribosomal RNA", at positions 1759 to 1831 of the family's 1831-position model. Lineage: Eukaryota; Fungi. The record is from RNAcentral.
GCAAACUUGGUCAUUUAGAGGAAGUAAAAGUCGUAACAAGGUUUCCGUAGGUGAACCUGCGGAAGGAUCAUUACAGAGGUAUUCAAACCAAGAUCACCCACUGUGUGCACUCAUUGGAGCCAUCUGGAAAUUGAAUUUUUUCCAAUGGUUUCCCAAACCUUUCACUUUUGUCUUUUAUUUGUCUGAUUCAAAUAAUAUUUGAAAACAAAACAACUUUCAACAACGGAUCUCUUGGCUCUCGCAUCGAUGAAGAACGCAGC